Molecule: ribosomal RNA, 253 nt
Filed under: uncultured bacterium
Lineage: Bacteria
Description: partial 16S ribosomal RNA
Rfam family: Bacterial small subunit ribosomal RNA
Source: RNAcentral
UACAGGGGGGGCAAGCGUUGUUCGGAAUUACUGGGCGUAAAGGGUCUGUAGGUGGCCAACUAAGUCAGACGUGAAAUCCCUCAGCUUAACUGGGGAACUGCGUCUGAUACUGGAUGGCUUGAGUGUGGGAGAGGAAUGCGGAAUUCCAGGUGUAGCGGUGAAAUGCGUAGAUAUCAGGAGGAACACCUGCGGUGUAGACGGCUUUCUGGACCAUUGUUGACGCUGAGACACGAAAGCGUGGGUAGCAAACAGG